GACAGAGGGUGCUAGCGUUGUUCGGAAUUACUGGGCGUAAAGGGCGCGUAGGCGGUCUGCUAAGUUCGGUGUGAAAUCCCCUGGCUCAACUGGGGAACUGCGCUGGAAACUGGCAGACUCGAGUACCGGAGAGGAGAGUGGAAUUCCUGGUGUAGCGGUGAAAUGCGUAGAUAUCAGGAGGAACACCGGUGGCGAAGGCGGCUCUCUGGACGGAUACUGACGCUGAGGAGCGAAAGCCAGGGGAGCAAACGGG
Molecule: ribosomal RNA, 253 nt
Filed under: uncultured bacterium
Lineage: Bacteria
Description: partial 16S ribosomal RNA
Rfam family: Bacterial small subunit ribosomal RNA
Source: RNAcentral